Molecule: ribosomal RNA, 467 nt
Filed under: uncultured bacterium
Lineage: Bacteria
Description: partial 16S ribosomal RNA
Rfam family: Bacterial small subunit ribosomal RNA
Source: RNAcentral
GACGAACGCUGGCGGCGUGCUUAACACAUGCGAGUCGAACGGAAAGGCCCUGCUUUUGUGGGGUGCUCGAGUGGCGAACGGGUGAGUAACACGUGAGUAACCUGCCCUUGACUUUGGGAUAACUUCAGGAAACUGGGGCUAAUACCGGAUAGGAGCUCCUGCUGCAUGGUGGGGGUUGGAAAGUUUCGGCGGUUGGGGAUGGACUCGCGGCUUAUCAGCUUGUUGGUGGGGUAGUGGCUUACCAAGGCUUUGACGGGUAGCCGGCCUGAGAGGGUGACCGGCCACAUUGGGACUGAGAUACGGCCCAGACUCCUACGGGAGGCAGCAGUGGGGAAUAUUGCACAAUGGGCGGAAGCCUGAUGCAGCAACGCCGCGUGCGGGAUGACGGCCUUCGGGUUGUAACCCGCUUUCGCCUGUGACGAAGCGUGAGUGACGGUAAUGGGUAAAGAAGCACCGGCUAACUACGU